UUUCUUUAUAAAAGAUAGCCGCAAUAUCGGCAACAAUCUCCCUGAAAAUAAUAUUGAUGGAAAUGGAGCUCAAAAUCUUGACGGGGAUUGGCCAUUUUUUAAUGGUAUCGAAGUGAAACGCGUCAUUGAAACACAGUUAAUACAUUUUACUGAGUUUCAGAACUCCGACAGAAGCAUUUUUAGAGACAAUACUAG
Long non-coding RNA from Copidosoma floridanum, 195 nucleotides. Lineage: Eukaryota; Metazoa; Arthropoda; Insecta; Hymenoptera; Encyrtidae. The record is from RefSeq and is a predicted model, not a curated record.